RNAcentral lists this ribosomal RNA (253 nucleotides) under uncultured bacterium. RNAcentral's name for it is "partial 16S ribosomal RNA". It matches the Rfam family "Bacterial small subunit ribosomal RNA", at positions 524 to 776 of the family's 1533-position model. The record is from RNAcentral.
UACAGAGGAGCCAAGCGUUGUCCGGAUUGACUGGGCGUAAAGCGCACGCAGGCGGAUGCGCGCGUGGGGUGUGAAAUCUGGCCGCUUAACGGCCAGGCGCCAUCCCAUACGGCGCGUCUGGAGUGAUGCAGAGGUCGAUGGAAUUGCCGGUGUAGCGGUGAAAUGCGUAGAGAUCGGCAGGAACACCCAGGGGGAAACCAGCCGACUGGGCAUCUACUGACGCUGAGGUGCGAGAGCGUGGGGAGCGAACCGG